Long non-coding RNA from Oxyura jamaicensis (ruddy duck), 264 nucleotides. RefSeq lists it as uncharacterized. The record is from RefSeq and is a predicted model, not a curated record. NCBI's taxonomy places the organism in Eukaryota, Metazoa, Chordata, Aves, Anseriformes, Anatidae. The transcript is spliced from 3 exons.
GCGCGCGGCUUCCUUUAGUGCGCGUCUGCCCGCCGCGCCGCACGCAUCCCACCGCUCCGCUGCGCUCCCCCCGCCUGCAGGCCGACAAGAUGGAGGACAGCGCCAUGGACAUGGAGAGCAUGGGCCCGCUGCGCCCCCAGACCUUCCUCUUCGGCUGCGAGCUUAAAGCAGAUAAGGAGUACAAGUUCAAAGUAGAUGAUGAAGAAAACGAGCAUCAGCUGUCUUUGAGAACGGCAAGUACUAUUUUUUUAGGGUUGUCUGGAA